RNAcentral lists this ribosomal RNA (893 nucleotides) under Yarrowia lipolytica. Its description in RNAcentral is "eukaryotic LSU rRNA". The stretch from base 332 to 893 matches the Rfam family "Eukaryotic large subunit ribosomal RNA", at positions 1 to 645 of the family's 3401-position model. Lineage: Eukaryota; Fungi; Ascomycota; Dipodascomycetes; Dipodascales. The record is from RNAcentral.
UUUUUUUNGGGGGGGGAUAANUNGUACCAGGUUUCCGUAGGUGAACCUGCGGAAGGAUCCNUAUUGAUUUUAUCUAUUUCGGGGAUUUCUGGUAUAUUACAGCGUCAUUUAUCUCAAUUAUAACUAUCAACAACGGAUCUCUNGCUCUCACAUCGAUGAAGAACGCAGCGAACCGCGAUAUUUUUUGUGACUUGCAGAUGUGAAUCAUCAAUCUUUGAACGCACAUUGCGCGGUAUGGCAUUCCGUACCGCACGGAUGGAGGAGCGUGUUCCCUCUGGGAUCGCAUUGCUUUCUUGAAAUGGAUUUUUUAAACUCUCAAUUAUUACGUCAUUUCACCUCCUUCAUCCGAGAUUACCCGCUGAACUUAAGCAUAUCAAUAAGCGGAGGAAAAGAAACCAACAGGGAUUGCCUCAGUAACGGCGAGUGAAGCGGCAAAAGCUCAAAUUUGAAACCCUCGGGAUUGUAAUUUGAAGAUUUGGCAUUGGAGAAAGCUAACCCAAGUUGCUUGGAAUAGUACGUCAUAGAGGGUGACAACCCCGUCUGGCUAACCGUUCUCCAUGUAUUGCCUUAUCAAAGAGUCGAGUUGUUUGGGAAUGCAGCUCAAAGUGGGUGGUAAACUCCAUCUAAAGCUAAAUACUGGUGAGAGACCGAUAGCGAACAAGUACUGUGAAGGAAAGGUGAAAAGAACUUUGAAAAGAGAGUGAAAUAGUAUGUGAAAUUGUUGAUAGGGAAGGAAAUGAGUGGAGAGUGGCCGAGGUUUCAGCCGCCCCUCGUGGGCGGUGUACUGCCGACGCCGAGUCAUCGAUAGCGAGACGAGGGUUACAAAUGGGAGCGCCUUCGGGCGUUCUCCCCUAACCCUCCACACUGCCACCGACGACAUAAUCCACCCAUCC